AUGAGAGUAAGGUUUACUGAUUAAAUCGAACUUCGAAUAAAAUUCUGUAUGUAUAUGGUAUAAUGACAAUAUAUAUCUUAUGUCUUGACAAAUUUCGUGCCAGCAGUCGCGGUAAUACGAAAGAGACUAGUGUUAUUCAUCUUCAUUAGGUUUAAAGGGUACGUAGACGGUAAUAAUAUACAAUUGUAUAGAAUUAACAAUUGGCAAAUUAAAACUAGAGUUUUAUAUGAGAAGAUCGUACUAUUGGUGGAGAGAUGAAAUUCUGUGAUACCUCUGGGACUGGUUAAGGCGAAGGCAAUUUUCUAUGUAAAAACUGACGUUCAGGGACGAAGGCUCAGGACACCAAAAGGAUUAGGUACCCAAGUAAUCUUUGCAGAGAAUUAUGAAUGUCAUAGGUUAGGUUUUUAUUUGGCCUAUAAAUUAAAGUGUAAGCAUUCCACCUCAAGAGUAAGUUGGCAACAUCGGAACUGAAAUCACUAGACCGUUUCUGACACCAGUAGUGAAGUAUGUUGUUUAAUUCGGUGAUCCACGAAAAACCUUACCACAAUUUGUAUAUAUUUAUAUACUAAGAAUAAUCCUUUUAAUUAUUCUUAAAUAUAUAUUUAGCUAUUAAUAAUAGACAGGUGUUGCACGGCUGUUUUCAGUUAAUGUUGUGAAAUUAUGGUUAAGUCCAUGUAAUUAACGUAAGCCCUUGCUUUAUUUGUAAAAUUUUUUUGAUAAAGCUGAUUCGCCACUAUAGCGGUUGAUGAUAAUAGGG
RNAcentral lists this ribosomal RNA (757 nucleotides) under fungal sp. RNAcentral's name for it is "mitochondrial SSU rRNA". It matches the Rfam family "Bacterial small subunit ribosomal RNA", at positions 401 to 1178 of the family's 1533-position model. The record is from RNAcentral. Lineage: Eukaryota; Fungi.